GAUGAAGAACGAAGCGAAAUGCGAUACGUAAUGUGAAUUGCAGAAUUCAGUGAAUCAUCGAGUCUUUGAACGCACAUUGCGCCCCCUGGUAUUCCGGGGGGCAUGCCUGUCCGAGCGUCAUUGCUGCCCUCAAGCACGGCUUGUGUGUUGGGCCUCCGUCCUCCUCCCGGGGGACGGGCCCGAAAGGCAGCGGCGGCACCGCGUCCGGUCCUCGAGCGUAUGGGGCUUCGUCACCCGCUCUUGUAGGCCCGGCCGGCGCUUGCCGACACAUCAAUCUUUUUUCCAGGUUGACCUCGGAUCAGGCAGGAAUACCCGCUGAACUUAAGCAUAUCAAUAAGCGGAGGA
This 345-nucleotide unclassified non-coding RNA is filed under the name soil metagenome. RNAcentral's name for it is "partial contains 5.8S ribosomal RNA, internal transcribed spacer 2, and large subunit ribosomal RNA". The stretch from base 1 to 120 matches the Rfam family "5.8S ribosomal RNA", at positions 35 to 154 of the family's 154-position model. The record is from RNAcentral.